Molecule: ribosomal RNA, 488 nt
Filed under: uncultured Helotiales
Lineage: Eukaryota; Fungi; Ascomycota; Leotiomycetes; Helotiales
Description: eukaryotic LSU rRNA
Rfam family: 5.8S ribosomal RNA (bases 186-333)
Source: RNAcentral
UGCGGANGGNUCNUUACCGAGUUCAUGCCCUCACGGGNAGAUCUCCCACCCUAUGUUAUCAUUACCUUUGUUGCUUUGGCGGGCCGCCAGGCUUCGGCCAGGCUACCGGCUCCGGCUGGUAAGCGCCCGCCAGAGGACCCCANNCUNUNAAUGUUNGUGUCNUCUGANUNCUNUNUAAUANUUAAAACUUUCAACAACGGAUCUCUUGGUUCUGGCAUCNAUGAANAACGCANCGAAAUGCNAUAAGUAAUGGAAUUGCAAAUUCAGAAUCAUCAAUCUUUGAACGCACAUUGCGCCCCUUGGUAUUCCGAGGGGAUGCCUGUUCGAGCGUCAUUACAACCCUCAAGCACUGUUGGGAUUGGGGUCCGCUGCUAAAUCCAGCGGGCCUUAAAAUCAGUGGCGGCGCCCUCAGGCUCUGAGCGUAGUAAAUCUCGUUAGAGCCUGGGGGGGUAGUCAUCAACCCCCAACUUUCUUAAGUUUGCACCUAU